RNAcentral lists this ribosomal RNA (232 nucleotides) under uncultured bacterium. Its description in RNAcentral is "partial 16S ribosomal RNA". It matches the Rfam family "Bacterial small subunit ribosomal RNA", at positions 30 to 254 of the family's 1533-position model. The record is from RNAcentral.
AUUGAACGCUGGCGGCAGGCCUAACACAUGCAAGUCGAACGGUAGCACAGAGAGCUUGCUCUCGGGUGACGAGUGGCGGACGGGUGAGUAAUGUCUGGGAAACUGCCCGAUGGAGGGGGAUAACUACUGGAAACGGUAGCUAAUACCGCAUAACGUCGCAAGACCAAAAGAGGGGGGGACCCUUCGGGCCUCUUGCCAUCGGAUGUGCCCAGAUGGGAUUAGCUUGUAGGUG